UGGGGAAUAUUGGACAAUGGGCGAAAGCCUGAUCCAGCCAUGCCGCGUGUGUGAAGAAGGUCUUCGGAUUGUAAAGCACUUUAAGUUGGGAGGAAGGGCAGUAAGCGAAUACCUUGCUGUUUUGACGUUACCGACAGAAUAAGCACCGGCUAACUCUGUGCCAGCAGCCGCGGUAAUACAGAGGGUGCAAGCGUUAAUCGGAAUUACUGGGCGUAAAGCGCGCGUAGGUGGUUCGUUAAGUUGAAUGUGAAAGCCCCGGGCUCAACCUGGGAACUGCAGCGAAAACUGGCGGGCUAGAGUAGGGCAGAGGGUGGUGGAAUUUCCUGUGUAGCGGUGAAAUGCGUAGAUAUAGGAAGGAACACCAGUGGCGAAGGCGACCGCCUGGGCUCAUACUGACACUGAGGUGCGAAAGCGUGGGGAGCAAACAGG
Molecule: ribosomal RNA, 429 nt
Filed under: Pseudomonadota bacterium
Lineage: Bacteria; Pseudomonadati; Pseudomonadota
Description: Proteobacteria bacterium partial 16S ribosomal RNA
Rfam family: Bacterial small subunit ribosomal RNA
Source: RNAcentral